GACGAACGCUGGCGGCGUGCUUAACACAUGCAAGUCGAGCGGAAAGGCCACUUCGGUGGUACUCGAGCGGCGAACGGGUGAGUAACACGUGAGUAAUCUGCCCCUCACUUUGGGAUAGCCACCGGAAACGGUGAUUAAUACCGGAUAUGACCAUAUGUCGCAUGGCGUGUGGUGGAAAGUUUUUCGGUGAGGGAUGUGCUCGCGGCCUAUCAGCUUGAUGGUGAGGUAAUGGCUCACCAUGGCUUCGACGGGUAGCCGGCCUGAGAGGGUGACCGGUCACACGGGGAAGGGGACACGGCCCAGACCCCUAGGGGGGGGAGGAGGGGGAAAUUUUGGAAAAUGGGCGGAAGCCUGAUCCAAAAACGCCGGGUGGGGGAUGAGGGCCUUCGGGUUGUAAACCUUUUUCAGUACCGACGAAGCGCAAGGGACGGGAGGUACAAAAAAAGCACCGGCAAACUACGG
RNAcentral lists this ribosomal RNA (462 nucleotides) under uncultured bacterium. RNAcentral describes it as "partial 16S ribosomal RNA". It matches the Rfam family "Bacterial small subunit ribosomal RNA", at positions 28 to 506 of the family's 1533-position model. The record is from RNAcentral.